UGCCAACUCGGUGGCCGUGAGCGUGAGGUCCGGUCCCCGUUCGAGUCUACCCGUCCUAGUGACGUUACUUAAAUCUGGACGUUCUAGUGUCGCACAGGCGAUUGUGAUUUCCCCGUCCUAGUGUCGUCCCUAAAAUUUUGACGUUCUAGUGUCGCAGAGAUAAUUGUAGUUUUCCCGUCCUAGUUACGUUACUUAAAUCUGGACGUUCUAGUGUCGCAGAGACAAUUGUAGUUUUCCCGUCCUAGUGUCGCCGCUAAAUUAUGGACGGUCUAGUGACGCAUGAUGAGACGUUCUAGUGUCGUUAUGAUUUUUAGAAAUUUCCCGGCCCAGUGUCGUUACUAAAAUUUAGACGUUCUAGUGAAAUGUAGACGUUCUAGUGUCGCGUUCUAGUGUCGCUUUGGAAAAGUUCUUGUAGUAAUCCGUCCCAAUGUCGCUAUGCCAGUAUAUAAAAGCUCUCAGUCGCCAUCUAUGAUCAGUUUCAUUGACAACGUCAUUCGUCAUUCUAUUUUAAAGUUAUCGUGUGGUCCUGUGGGGCAUCAGAUUUUACAGUCAUCAUACUAGUCCAUCGGCUUGUCUCUUGAGGCAGGCUAGCUUAUCGCCCGAACCAGAAGAUGGUGACAAGGAUGUCGAUGUUGAUCUCUAUCAAGCCGCUGUUCUGAUUUUGGCUCAUUUGGAUCGAUUAGCAUCUCCAUUUAUUCAAACAUUCAAAUCGGAUCGCGUAGUUAUGGAAAAUACUUUAAUUCGAUUGGAUUUGAGCGCCGCUACGGUGGACCCGGGUGGACCAUUUCACAGUAGUCCAGAAACUUCCAAUAACGAUAGAUCAAGUUGUCUGCACAGCCCUUGGUCUCCUGUUUCUUUCCGGCGAUGGCAAAGUUUUCAAAGGAUUUUGAGUCACGGAGAUCAAGUGGGCAUUGAUGUUGGGCAUCACGGCUGCUCCUUACCUGUGUUGCAGCGUUUGAAGAACCACGUUAUUGCUCUUGCAGGGGAAAUCCAAAUCUGGGUGCCGUACAAGAUACAGCUCAAGCUUUUCUCCAAUUGGCUUCAUAAAUAUUGAAAGAGCCUUCUUUUGCCUACUGCUUCAGAAAGAGCUUCAGCAUUGCCCACACUUUUGCAAAGAGACGACGAAUAUGAUAGUUGUGGUGGACGUUUCAUGGCCGAUUUAUUGGUGAUUUCCAUGAUGGCGGACGGAGGGUUACAAGCAGCUUUCGAAGCUUCGUUGCUAGCUGAAGCAAAUGAUCUUGAGAUAAACGGCCGAUGCAAUAACGACGCGGUAUUGAGAAUAGGGGAUGGCGCAAAAAAAUAAAAAAAAAUAAUAAAACAUACUAAAAAUAAGAGAAAAAAAAAAUAAAAAAUAUCUCCCAAUCAUACUAUAGCUGGGAAAAAUUUACUUUACGAGUUAUUCACGUUGAAAGUUUCGACUCCGUGGCCCACCUCUAAAACGCAGGAGGUGGCCUAUUUAUCACGUGAUUCUUGGUGCAUUACCGCUGGUCAGUUUUAACCAAUGAGAAUAGAUCACGUGAUCGGGGGAACCAAUAGAA
Daphnia pulicaria is the source of this 1538-nucleotide long non-coding RNA. RefSeq lists it as uncharacterized. Lineage: Eukaryota; Metazoa; Arthropoda; Branchiopoda; Diplostraca; Daphniidae. The transcript has 5 exons. The record is from RefSeq and is a predicted model, not a curated record.